This 450-nucleotide ribosomal RNA is filed under the name uncultured bacterium. RNAcentral's name for it is "partial 16S ribosomal RNA". It matches the Rfam family "Bacterial small subunit ribosomal RNA", at positions 354 to 796 of the family's 1533-position model. The record is from RNAcentral.
GUGGGGAAUUUUGGACAAUGGGCGCAAGCCUGAUCCAGCAAUGCCGCGUGCAGGAAGAAGGCCUUCGGGUUGUAAACUGCUUUUGUACGGAACGAAACGGUCCUGGCUAAUAUCCGGGGCUAAUGACGGUACCGUAAGAAUAAGCACCGGCUAACUACGUGCCAGCAGCCGCGGUAAUACGUAGGGUGCGAGCGUUAAUCGGAAUUACUGGGCGUAAAGCGUGCGCAGGCGGUUUUGUAAGACAGGCGUGAAAUCCCCGGGCUCAACCUGGGAAUUGCGCUUGUGACUGCAAGGCUGGAGUGCGGCAGAGGGGGAUGGAAUUCCGCGUGUAGCAGUGAAAUGCGUAGAUAUGCGGAGGAACACCGAUGGCGAAGGCAAUCCCCUGGGCCUGUACUGACGCUCAUGCACGAAAGCGUGGGGAGCAAACAGGAUUAGAAACCCGGGUAGUCC